This 75-nucleotide transfer RNA is filed under the name Streptococcus pneumoniae. RNAcentral's name for it is "tRNA-Glu". It matches the Rfam family "tRNA". Rfam says of the family: Transfer RNA (tRNA) molecules are approximately 80 nucleotides in length. Their secondary structure includes four short double-helical elements and three loops (D, anti-codon, and T loops). Lineage: Bacteria; Bacillati; Bacillota; Bacilli; Lactobacillales; Streptococcaceae. The record is from RNAcentral.
GGCGCUAUUGGCAAAUUGGAAUAAGCCACUACACUUUCAAUGUAGUCAUUGCGGGUUCGAGUCCAGUUGGCGCUA